GAUGAACGCUGGCGGCGUGCCUAAUACAUGCAAGUCGAGCGAACGGACGAGAAGCUUGCUGCUCUGAUGUUAGCGGCGGACGGGUGAGUAACACGUGGAUAACCUACCUAUAAGACUGGGAUAACUUCGGGAAACCGGAGCUAAUACCGGAUAAUAUUUUGAACCGCAUGGUUCAAAAGUGAAAGACGGUCUUGCUGUCACUUAUAGAUGGAUCCGCGCUGCAUUAGCUAGUUGGUAAGGUAACGGCUUACCAAGGCAACGAUGCAUAGCCGACCUGAGAGGGUGAUCGGCCACACUGGAACUGAGACACGGUCCAGACUCCUACGGGAGGCAGCAGUAGGGAAUCUUCCGCAAAGGGCGAAAGCCUGACGGAGCAACGCCGCGUGAGUGAUGAAGGUCUUCGGAUCGUAAAACUCUGUUAUUAGGGAAGAACAUAUGUGUAAGUAACUGUGCACAUCUUGACGGUACCUAAUCAGAAAGCCACGGCUAACUACGUG
Molecule: ribosomal RNA, 497 nt
Filed under: uncultured bacterium
Lineage: Bacteria
Description: partial 16S ribosomal RNA
Rfam family: Bacterial small subunit ribosomal RNA
Source: RNAcentral